Molecule: long non-coding RNA, 3149 nt
Filed under: Homo sapiens (human)
Lineage: Eukaryota; Metazoa; Chordata; Mammalia; Primates; Hominidae
Description: long non-coding RNA NONHSAT021545.2
Source: RNAcentral
CAGAAACACAAUGAUCUGGUGCCACCAUGUGGUGAUUUUUAUUCAGGUUUUAGAAUGCAGUUCACACCUUUUUAAGCCAUGUGCUGGAUCAGAUGGUUCAAAAGUGCAAUUUUUGAACAUGGUUUAACUCCCACAGAAUGCAGUGUAACUAUGUUUGUGUUUCAGAUUUGAGGUGUUCCCCCCAAAAGAAUUUGGUUCAGUCCUUGGGAGUAUCUGGCUUUAGGAGGAAAUGGGGGAGAUCUGUCACGAUGUUAUCUAGAAGGUGGAAUGACCAUACCAAACAUCCUUUUAAUCUAACUUGAAUGUCUCACCAAAAAUAACAUUUCUGUUGGCAUUCUGGGUCCUAGAAGCCAGAUCCAUCUCCUUUUUCCUUCUGUUGCUCUCUUCCUUCACACCCUCUUCCAUGUCCACAUGCACUUAUCUCCCUGCAGAAUACUUUUUGCGAUGAUGUUUCUCAUGUAUUCUUUCUUUCCUUGUCUGGAUGAGCAGAAGAAGAUCAUGAUCAUGAUCUGCUGUAUUAUCCUUGCGAUCAUCUUAGCUUCCACCAUUGGGAGCAUAUUUGCCUGAAAAAGGUGAGCCAUCUGUGGGGAGGGUCAGACCUUCUUUCACUGACUUGAAACCUUUGUGUCUUGGGGGCACUCUAGGUGCCUUAAUCUGGGUGGGAUUAGGUGCUAAUAAUGGUUAGAGAAAACUAAAGAAAGGGAUGUUUCAGAGACAGAAAAGUGAGUGAAGAAUGAACUGUUAGUAGGUAGUCUGUGGGAGGAGGGGGGAGACAGAAGGUGGCAAUCUGUCCUAUAACCUGGUGUGGCAGAAUGCUUUGUACAGGUGAAGGAUAGUGAUUCCUGCUAAACAGUUUGAGCCUUGGUAUCUGGAAGUGACAAAAAGAACAAGAAUUAGUUCUUGCAUUAGGUGCAUCUUGAACUUUUUGGAAGAGGGCCGGCCACACAGUAAAUUCAAAUUAAAUUUCUUCCCUUUCAAGGUUAAUGAAAGUUAACACAGCCUUGUAUGUAGUCCUUUACCCCGGGUAAGAGGGAUUUGGUGAUCCCAGCCACGAACACCAUGCUAUAUAAUCUAUGAUUUUUUUCCUCCAUUUUUCUGUUAUCUCCCACAGCCCUCACAGAUUGAUCGACUGGCAUUUCUAAUCCUCCUUCCACUUCUGUGGUACCAUCACUUCUCCACGCAGACUCCUCAUCAGCUUCUCCUCUUUCCAUUAUGAAACUUCUUAAGAAACAGGGCACCAAUCAACUACUUAUUAAGAAUUAUGCAAAGAAUAAACGUAUACAGAAUUGGGCGGAGGACAGGGACAGGGAGUACAGAUACAUAGCUGAUUAGGCAGAUGGUUUAAAGGAGGACUGCAGGGUAGAGAAGCAAGCAGAGUGGGCGCCUCUUUAGGAAGUGACACAGCCUGCAUGUGCAGUAUGGCUGUGAAGGGGCAGAUAUCAUAGCACACCUAACUCAACAGGAUCUUACUUGAACUGCUGUGAGUUGGUCAAGUCAGGGCACUUCUGCUCUUCAGGCUCCUCUAGGUCACACCUUUGACCACCCUACAUCUGUUUCCUCUUUCAGGCUCCAGUAGUAGUCUUAAAAGUGAAGUUUAUCUAAGGAUAAGCACAUGCCUAUCUUGCUCACUGCUGUGUCCCCACUUUUUAGCACAGCGCCUGCUGCUUACAGGUACUCAAAUAUCUGCUGACUUAAUUACUUAUAAUUAAGCUCUUAUUUCAGUCAUGGACAAAUCCUUGGGUUUGACUCCUAAACUCUUUAAGGUACCAAUGAGAACGUGGUUUGUUACUGUCAGAGGCUGUGUAAAGCCGCUUGGGAAUGGGCUGAUCUGCUUAUGCAAAAAUGCUACCAACCUUUCAAACCCCAUUACCACAACAUGAAAAUUUAAAGUGCUUUUUCUAUGGGUGGUGAUGGUGGAGUUCUAGCAACAGCCUCUUAAUCUGUGGAGAAGAUGGCUGGCUCCAGGACUGUGGUUCAAUAACGAAAUACAGGCCCACAAAAUAAAAUAGGUUUAUAGCAUGACUGAACUCACACAUCAGUAGAACACUCUGUGAACCAUAACAAAGAACAGAUAAAGGUGUCAAGUGAGAAAGGUGAAAUGAGGUUAUCACUCACUUCACCUCUCACCUGAUUUGUGUUGCUAGCUGAAACUGCUGGCCAGUAACGUAUGUAUAAGAAACUGUUAUAGGCCGGGCACGGUGGCUCAUGCCUGUAAUCACAGCACUUUGGGAGGCCAAGGCAGGUGGAUCACCAGACUGACCAACAUAGUGAAACCCCCUCUCUACAAAAAAUACAAAAAUUAGCCAGGCAUGGUGGCUUGCACCUGUAUUCCCAGCUACUUGGGAGGCUGAGGCAGGAGAAUUGCUUGAAUGCAAGAGGCGGAAGUUGCAGUGAGCCGAGAUCGCGCCACUGCACUCCAGCCUGGGCAACAAGAGCUAAAUUCCAUCUAAAAAAAAAAAAAAAACAAAAAAAAAAAACUGUUCUUAAUACUUAAUACUGUCCCCAAUUCCAUUCAAGGUUCAGUUGUGUUCAGCUUUAAAACCAGCUAUGUGAAUGUGAGUUCUAGUGCAGAUUAUUUAGUGAUUAUGUAACUAAAAUUGAUGAAAAAAUCACACUAUACAACUGUGAGGAGCACACAACUGCUAAGUUUGUACUUUUGAAAGUAAAUUAUUCUUUGUUUGAUACCUUAUUUUUUAAGAAAGUGGGAUUAAAAAUAUUUUGGUCAGUGCUGUUUUCUACCCACCUUCAAAAGCCAAUGGUUUGAUAUUUCUAUUAAUUUGUGCUUCCUUUAGUUUUAAUAGGGGAUAGAAGACUGCAGCUGGUUGGGUCUGGAAAACAUUAAUCUGGGCAAACGGAGCUGGAGCUAUGAGGAUCUGAGUCCUAGGGGGCCCUCAUUCACUAGCAGUAAGAAUUUAAGUGGUGCAUGGCACAUAGCACUGUACUAGAUUCUGCAGGGGCACAAACAUAGAGCCAAACACUCUCCCUCUUGGAGAAUUUCAGACCCAGAAAAGGCCACGCAGUUCUAACUUUUGUCAUCGGUUCCUUUUGCUAAAAGGCAAAGGGUAUGUUCCUUGCCUAUUGUCCAACAUACCCCUUCCAAGAUUGUGAGAAGAUGGGUAGCUGGGCAUCAAUAAAUAUUGAAUCAAUUG